Molecule: ribosomal RNA, 499 nt
Filed under: uncultured bacterium
Lineage: Bacteria
Description: partial 16S ribosomal RNA
Rfam family: Bacterial small subunit ribosomal RNA
Source: RNAcentral
GACGAACGCUGGCGGCGUGCCUAAUACAUGCAAGUCGAGCGAAGUUUUUCUGGUGCUUGCACUAGAAAAACUUAGCGGCGAACGGGUGAGUAACACGUAAAGAACCUGCCUCAUAGACUGGGACAACUAUUGGAAACGAUAGCUAAUACCGGAUAACAGUAUUUCUCGCAUGAGUGGUAUUUAAAAGUUGGUUAUGCUAACACUAUGAGAUGGCUUUGCGGUGCAUUAGCUAGUUGGUGGGGUAAAGGCCCACCAAGGCGACGAUGCAUAGCCGACCUGAGAGGGUGAUCGGCCACACUGGGACUGAGACACGGCCCAGACUCCUACAGGAGGCAGCAGUAGGGAAUCUUCCGCAAAGGGCGAAAGCCUGACGGAGCAACGCCGCGUGAGUGAAGAAGGAUUUCGGUUCGUAAAGCUCUGUUGUUAGGGAAGAAUGGAUAUGUAGUAACUAUACAUGUAAGAGACGGUACCUAACCAGAAAGCCACGGCUAACUACGUG